This 522-nucleotide ribosomal RNA is filed under the name uncultured Glomeromycotina. RNAcentral describes it as "SSU rRNA". It matches the Rfam family "Eukaryotic small subunit ribosomal RNA", at positions 569 to 1092 of the family's 1831-position model. Lineage: Eukaryota; Fungi; Glomeromycota. The record is from RNAcentral.
AGCAGCCGCGGUAAUUCCAGCUCCAAUAGCGUAUAUUAAAGUUGUUGCAGUUAAAAAGCUCGUAGUUGAAUUUCGGGAUUAGCAGGUUGGUCGUGCCUCUGGUACGUACUGGUCUUGUUGAUUCCUCCCUUUUGACGAGCCGUAAUGCCAUUAAUUUGGUGUUGCGGGGAAUCAGGACUGUUACUUUGAAAAAAUUAGAGUGUUUAAAGCAGGCUAACGCUUGAAUACAUUAGCAUGGAAUAAUGAAAUAGGACGUUCGAUCCUAUUUUGUUGGUUUCUAGGAUUGACGUAAUGAUUAAUAGGGAUAGUUGGGGGCAUUAGUAUUCAAUUGUCAGAGGUGAAAUUCUUGGAUUUAUUGAAGACUAACUACUGCGAAAGCAUUUGCCAAGGAUGUUUUCAUUAAUCAAGAACGAAAGUUAGGGGAUCGAAGACGAUCAGAUACCGUCGUAGUCUUAACCAUAAACUAUGCCGACUAGGGAUCGGAUGAUGUUAAUUUUUUAAUGACUCAUUCGGCGCCUUACG